CUAAUUUAAGUGCAAUCAGCCAUUGCUUGCUAAAAUAAUUAUAAUAGAUAAAAUGUUUAAGAUACUUACUGAAAAUCGGUAAUUAAAAUUACCAAUUUUUAGUAAUGAAAAUGUGGGCAUACACGACAGAACCCUCAUAUUUUCACUAUACUACAAUAUUUUCGAACAAACACAAAACGCUCGUAAGUUUUCGGUUAUCAUCGGCAAUGCUCGGUCAUUGUUUUGCCGUUGGAAUGACGCCAUUUUGCGGCCAACUGCGCAGUGCGGCCCCCCGCCUCAGGUCGAGUAUAAAAAGCGGCCAUGACGUCAAGCGCCCACAUUCUUAAUUCGGCUCGGUGAAGUGCAGUUGUGUGGCUCCGCUGUGUGUAGUGCUGGAGAUUCCAAGAAGUGAUAUUUGUGCCUGGUCGGAUACAGUCCCAUUGCGUUUCGCGUGGGCCUGCAUCCGUCGGCCGCCAUCUUGGUUGCCGCUGGGGCGUGGUCGCAGAUAACUACAAAAUGGGUUUGUAACGGUAUCAUGCAUUUAUUUGUUAAUUUUUAAGUGUUUCAAUUUAUUCUCUCGCCUAACGAUUAAAUUGGAAUUUUGAUUUUUAUUCAUAUUGAAUAAUAUUUAUUGUACAUAUGUUUAAGUAUGGAAAUAAAUAACUUUUAAAAAAAGGUCGUA
This is a long non-coding RNA of Spodoptera frugiperda (fall armyworm), 661 nucleotides long. RefSeq lists it as uncharacterized. Lineage: Eukaryota; Metazoa; Arthropoda; Insecta; Lepidoptera; Noctuidae. The record is from RefSeq and is a predicted model, not a curated record. The transcript has 2 exons.